This 488-nucleotide ribosomal RNA is filed under the name uncultured bacterium. Its description in RNAcentral is "bacterial SSU rRNA". It matches the Rfam family "Bacterial small subunit ribosomal RNA", at positions 28 to 526 of the family's 1533-position model. The record is from RNAcentral.
GACGAACGCUGGCGGCGUGCCUAACACAUGCAAGUCGAGCGGGAUCCAUCCAGUAGCAAUACUGGGGAAGAUCUAGCGGCGAACGGGUGAGUAACACGUGAGAAACCUGCCCCGAAGUCUGGGAUAACCCGAGGAAACUCGAGCUAAUACCGGAUGCCCUCCUCUGGUCGCAUGGCCGGUUGAGGAAAGAUUCAUCGCUUCGGGAGGGUCUCGCGGCCUAUCAGCUAGUUGGUGGGGUAACGGCCCACCAAGGCGUCGACGGGUAGCUGGUCUGAGAGGACGAUCAGCCACACUGGGACUGAGACACGGCCCAGACUCCUACGGGAGGCAGCAGUGGGGAAUCUUGCGCAAUGGGCGAAAGCCUGACGCAGCAACGCCGCGUGCGGGAUGAAGGCCUUCGGGUUGUAAACCGCUUUCAGGAGGGACGAAAUUGACGGUACCUCCAGAAGAAGCCCCGGCCAACUACGUGCCAGCAGCCGCCGUAACAC